This 273-nucleotide long non-coding RNA is filed under the name Lathyrus oleraceus (garden pea). Its description in RNAcentral is "Pisum sativum (pea) long non-coding RNA (PSAT_LNC034618)". Lineage: Eukaryota; Viridiplantae; Streptophyta; Magnoliopsida; Fabales; Fabaceae. The record is from RNAcentral.
CUGAAUGCGUAAUACAAUAGUCUUGAACACUCCACCACAAGCCGGUAGGAUUUGUUCUUGGAUUCUUCAAUUAAACAGUAAAUUAAAUCAAGGAAAUAAAACUGGAAUAUAACGUAAGGUUAAAUCCGGUAUAAAGUUGCACAAUAGUUUCCGGUGUAGAAACUAUUAUGCGAAAAAUAUCUAAAAGCUAAAAUGGGAAAGGUAAAUUUGCAAGGGAAAAAGAAUGUAAAGCUUGCAAAAGAAAUAAAUAAAAUAAACAAUGCUGGAAAAGAA